UACGUAGGUGGCAAGCGUUGUCCGGAAUUACUGGGUGUAAAGGGCGUGUAGGCGGGACUGCAAGUCAGAUGUGAAAACUAUGGGCUCAACUCAUAGCCUGCAUUUGAAACUGUUUUUCUUGAGUGAAGUAGAGGCAGGCGGAAUUCCGAGUGUAGCGGUGAAAUGCGUAGAUAUUCGGAGGAACACCAGUGGCGAAGGCGGCCUGCUGGACUGUAACUGACACUGAGGCUCGAAAGCGUGGGGAGCAA
This 248-nucleotide ribosomal RNA is filed under the name uncultured Intestinimonas sp. RNAcentral's name for it is "partial 16S ribosomal RNA". It matches the Rfam family "Bacterial small subunit ribosomal RNA", at positions 524 to 771 of the family's 1533-position model. The record is from RNAcentral. Lineage: Bacteria; Bacillati; Bacillota; Clostridia; Eubacteriales.